RNAcentral lists this ribosomal RNA (1568 nucleotides) under Blattella germanica (German cockroach). RNAcentral describes it as "bacterial LSU rRNA". It matches the Rfam family "Bacterial large subunit ribosomal RNA", at positions 1176 to 2824 of the family's 2925-position model. The record is from RNAcentral. Lineage: Eukaryota; Metazoa; Arthropoda; Insecta; Blattodea; Blattellidae.
CGGGGCUAAAUGGUAUACCGAAGCUUGGGCUGCAUCGUAAGAUGCGGGGUAGGGGAGCGUUGUGUGCGGGGUGAAGCAUGAGCGUAAGCGCGUGUGGACUGCACAGAAGUGAGAAUGCCGGAAUGAGUAGCGAGAAUUAUGUGAGAAUCAUAAUGGCCGAAAGCCUAAGGAUUUUGGAGGAAGGUUCGUCCGCUCCAAGUUAGCCGGGAGCUAAGGUGAGGCCGAAAGGCGUAGCCGAUGCACAUACGGUAGAAAUUCCGUAGCCACCGAAAGAUUUAAGCAGAGGGACACAGGUGAAGUGAGUGACCCGGGCGUUGGUGCCCCGGGCGUAAGGGACUGAAAACAAGUAAGGAAGUCACUCAUGGAACCUGGCGAGAAAAGCUCUGUGUAUAUUUAAGGUGCCCGUACCGCAAACCGACACAGGUAGGUAGGAAGAGAAUUCUAAGGCCAACGGGAGAAUGGUUGUUAAGGAACUCGGCAAGUUGACCCCGUAACUCGGAAGAAGGGUGCUCGCUUUAAGUGAGCCGCAGAGAAUAGGUCCAGGCGACUGUUUAGCAAAAACACAGGUCUAUGCUAAAUCGAAAGAUGACGUAUAUGGGCUGACGCCUGCCCGGUGCUGGAAGGUUAAGAGGAGAUGUGAGAGCAUUGAAUUGAAGCCCCAGUAAACGGCGGCCGUAACAAUAACGGUCCUAAGGUAGCGAAAUUCCUUGUCAGGUAAGUUCUGACCCGCACGAAUGGCGUAACGAUCUGGACACUGUCUCAACAGCCAACCCGGCGAAAUUGUAGUACCGGUGAAGAUGCCGGUUACCCGCGACAAGACGGAAAGACCCCAUGGAGCUUUACUGUAGCCUGAUAUUGGAUUUCGGUAUUUCAUGUACAGGAUAGGUGGGAGGCUUUGAAGCAUGGACGCCAGUUCACGUGGAGCCACCGUUGGGAUACCACUCUUGGAAUACUGGAAUUCUAACCUGCGGCCAUGAAUCUGGCUGGGGGACAUCGUCAGGUGGGCAGUUUGACUGGGGCGGUCGCCUCCAAAAGAGUAACGGAGGCGUUCAAAGGUCAGCUCAGCACGGACGGAAACCGUGCAUUAGAGUGCAAACGCAAAAGCUGGCCUAACUGCGAGAGCGACGGUUCGAGCAGUAACGAAAGUUGGAGUUAGUGAUCCGGUGGUAUGUGAGUGGAAAUGCCAUCGCUCAACGGAUAAAAGCUACCCUGGGGAUAACAGGCUGAUCUCCCCCAAGAGUCCACAUCGUCGGGGAGGUUUGGCACCUCGAUGUCGGCUCAUCGCAUCCUGGGGCUGUAUUCGGUCCCAAGGGUUUGGCUGUUCGCCAAUUAAAGCGGUACGCGAGCUGGGUUCAGAACGUCGUGAGACAGUUCGGUCCCUAUCUGUCGUGGGCGCAGGAUAUUUGAGAGGAGCUUUCCCUAGUACGAGAGGACCGGGAUGGACGCACCUCUGGUGCACCAGUUGUCACGCCAGUGGCACAGCUGGGCAGCUAUGUGCGGAAGGGAUAAACGCUGAAGGCAUCUAAGCGUGAAGCCCCCCUCGAGAUAAGAUAUCCCACUGAGUUAAU